This 367-nucleotide small RNA is filed under the name Histoplasma capsulatum var. duboisii H88. RNAcentral's name for it is "Histoplasma capsulatum H88 hypothetical RNA". Lineage: Eukaryota; Fungi; Ascomycota; Eurotiomycetes; Onygenales; Ajellomycetaceae. The record is from RNAcentral.
UGGGGUUUCGAUUGGAAGGGUUUCCCUAGGUUUUCGGUCUUCUUAUAAUUUUUGGACGGCGGUGUUCUUCCCUUUCUUUUAUGAAGGGCGUAGGUAGGCAGAAGGUAUCUAUCCCUUUUCUGCUUUCCUUUCUCUUAUUAUCGAUUUCAACCUCUUUUUUUGGUUAAUACAUUCCCAGAGGGCCCCGUGCAUAUAUGCGUCCAUACCCCCCAUACCAUUCUGCUGGACGUUUUGUCAUGACGUCCAUGUAUAUUUGCAAUACAUACGUACAUAUUCUCUACCAAACAACUGUAUUAUUAUAUAGAUGCAUUACUUCAUAUAUCCAUACAAGUGUCGCACUCCUUUUUCAAGGACAUCAACUUCUCCU